GACGAACGCUGGCGGCGUGCUUAACACAUGCAAGUCGAACGGAAAGGCCCUGCUUUUGUGGGGUGCUCGAGUGGCGAACGUGUGUGUAACACGUGAGUAACCUGCCCUUGACUUUGGGAUAACUUCAGGAAACUGGGGCUAAUACCGGAUAGGAGCUCCUGCUGCAUGGUGGGGGUUGGAAAGAUUCGGCGGUUGGGGAUGGACUGGCGGCUUAUCAGCUUGUUGGUGGGGUAGUGGCUUAUCAAGGCUUUGACGGGUAGCCGGCCUGAGAGGGUGACCGGCCACAUUGGGACUGAGAUACGGCCCAGACUCCUACGGGAGGCAGCAGUGGAGAAUAUUGCACAAUGGGAGGAAGCCUGAUGCAGCAACGCCGCGUGCGGGAUGACGGCCUUCGGGUUGUAAACCGCUUUCGCCUGUGACGAAGAGUGAGUGACGGUAAUUGGUAAAGAAGCACCGGCUAACUACGUG
Molecule: ribosomal RNA, 468 nt
Filed under: uncultured bacterium
Lineage: Bacteria
Description: partial 16S ribosomal RNA
Rfam family: Bacterial small subunit ribosomal RNA
Source: RNAcentral